This 219-nucleotide non-coding RNA is filed under the name Sphingomonas sp. The record is from RNAcentral. Lineage: Bacteria; Pseudomonadati; Pseudomonadota; Alphaproteobacteria; Sphingomonadales; Sphingomonadaceae. RNAcentral also lists the same sequence under 1 other name.
CAGCGUGUUGAUCGCGCCGGUGCCCUGACCAGGGCUUAAUCGGGAAUGCGGUGCGGGCGCUCCGGCGCCCAAAUCCGCGGCUGUCCCUGCAACUGUGAGCGGAUAGCGCGAUGCACUGGCCUCCGUCCGAGGGGCAGCCACUGGGCGGCAACGCCUGGGAAGGCGUGCAGCGCGCGGUGACCCGCAAGCCAGGAGACCUGCCGGCGUCCGGUCGCUCUU